RNAcentral lists this ribosomal RNA (120 nucleotides) under Pteropus alecto (black flying fox). Lineage: Eukaryota; Metazoa; Chordata; Mammalia; Chiroptera; Pteropodidae. The record is from RNAcentral.
ACUGAGUUUCACGUUUCUUUAAAAUCUGCAAGGCCUCAUCUGAUCUCAAAAGCUAAGCAGGGUCGGGCCUGGUUAGUACUUGGAUGGGAGACCACCUAGGAAGACCAGGUGCUGUAGGUG